RNAcentral lists this ribosomal RNA (466 nucleotides) under uncultured bacterium. RNAcentral's name for it is "partial 16S ribosomal RNA". It matches the Rfam family "Bacterial small subunit ribosomal RNA", at positions 28 to 507 of the family's 1533-position model. The record is from RNAcentral.
GAUGAACGCAGGCGGCGUGCUUAACACAUGCUAGUCGAACGGAAAGGCCCAAGCUUGCUUGGGUACUCGAGUGGCGAACGGGUGAGUAACACGUGGGUGAUCUGCCCUGCACUUCGGGAUAAGCCUGGGAAACUGGGUCUAAUACCGGAUAGGACCACAUUUUGGAUGGUGUGGUGGAAAGUUUUUCGGUGUGGGAUGAGCUCGCGGCCUAUCAGCUUGUUGGUGGGGUAAUGGCCUACCAAGGCGUCGACGGGUAGCCGGCCUGAGAGGGUGUACGGCCACAUUGGGACUGAGAUACGGCCCAGACUCCUACGGGAGGCAGCAGUGGGGAAUAUUGCACAAUGGGCGCAAGCCUGAUGCAGCGACGCCGCGUGGGGGAUGACGGCCUUCGGGUUGUAAACUCCUUUCGCUAGGGACGAAGCGUUAUGUGACGGUACCUGGAGAAGAAGCACCGGCUAACUACGUG